This 497-nucleotide ribosomal RNA is filed under the name uncultured bacterium. RNAcentral describes it as "partial 16S ribosomal RNA". It matches the Rfam family "Bacterial small subunit ribosomal RNA", at positions 28 to 507 of the family's 1533-position model. The record is from RNAcentral.
GAUGAACGCUGGCGGCGUGCCUAAUACAUGCAAGUCGAGCGAACAGACGAGGAGCUUGCUCCUCUGACGUUAGCGGCGGACGGGUGAGUAACACGUGGAUAACCUCCCUAUAAGACUGGGAUAACUUCGGGAAACCGGAGCUAAUACCGGAUAAUAUAUUGAACCGCAUGGUUCAAUAGUGAAAGACGGUUUUGCUGUCACUUAUAGAUGGAUCCGCGCCGCAUUAGCUAGUUGGUAAGGUAAAGGCUUACCAAGGCAACGAUGCGUAGCCGACCUGAGAGGGUGAUCGGCCACAUGGGAACUGAGACACGGUCCAGACUCCUACGGGAGGCAGCAGUAGGGAAUCUUCCGCAAUGGGCGAAAGCCUGACGGAGCAACGCCGCGUGAGUGAUGAAGGUCUUCGGAUCGUAAAACUCUGUUAUUAGGGAAGAACAAAUGUGUAAGUAACUAUGCACGUCUUGACGGUACCUAAUCAGAAAGCCACGGCUAACUACGUG